GUGGGUGUAGCUCAGUUGGUAGAGCGCCGGAUUGUGACUCCGGUUGUCGAGGGUUCAACUCCCUUCACUCACCCCA
RNAcentral lists this transfer RNA (76 nucleotides) under Desulfobacteraceae bacterium 4572_35.1. Its description in RNAcentral is "tRNA-His". It matches the Rfam family "tRNA". Rfam says of the family: Transfer RNA (tRNA) molecules are approximately 80 nucleotides in length. Their secondary structure includes four short double-helical elements and three loops (D, anti-codon, and T loops). The record is from RNAcentral. RNAcentral also lists the same sequence under 1 other name. Lineage: Bacteria; Pseudomonadati; Thermodesulfobacteriota; Desulfobacteria; Desulfobacterales; Desulfobacteraceae.